UACGUAGGGUGCAAGCGUUAAUCGGAAUUAUUGGGCGUAAAGAGCGCGCAGGCGGUAUGACAAGUCAGAUGUGAAAGAGGCCGGCUUAACCGGCAAGGGUCAUUUGAAACUGUCAGACUAGAGUGCAGCAGAGGAUAGUGGAAUUCCCGGUGUAGUGGUGAAAUGCGUAGAUAUCGGGAGGAACACCAGUGGCGAAGGCGACUAUCUGGGCUGCAACUGACGCUGAGGCGCGAAGGCUAGGGUAGCAAACAGG
Molecule: ribosomal RNA, 253 nt
Filed under: uncultured bacterium
Lineage: Bacteria
Description: partial 16S ribosomal RNA
Rfam family: Bacterial small subunit ribosomal RNA
Source: RNAcentral